This is a long non-coding RNA of Cephus cinctus (wheat stem sawfly), 1763 nucleotides long. RefSeq lists it as uncharacterized. The record is from RefSeq and is a predicted model, not a curated record. The transcript has 3 exons. NCBI's taxonomy places the organism in Eukaryota, Metazoa, Arthropoda, Insecta, Hymenoptera, Cephidae.
CCGAGCUUCUUUAUCCGCGGGUGUCGAAUGAACGUCGUGUAUUAAAUUACCACUUGUCAAUUUCGUGAAAUAAUUAUUUAUACGGAAUAUACAUGUAAUGAAGUUUCGUUACCUGACGAUGAAAGGUAACCUCUGGCAUAAUGUGCAAAUGUGUCCGAGAAAAAUGUGUACUGUGUAGAAUCGCUCGAUGUGCCACCUAGCGGUUAGAAUAGGUACUAACGUAACGUCUAACGUAGAAGGAAAAGGAAAGGAAAAAACAAAGUCGGUAAGGCGAGUUGAAGACGGGACUUACCUCUCUCUGUGAGCAUUUUUUACCGAGAAAGGAACCCUCUGCCCGAAGCUUCAUAAAGAAAGGGUUGUCACGAGUGGAGGUGGGCGCUCGCGAUGGACACACGGUGGCUGCACGUACUCUUGUGAUCUCACGUCACGCUGAAACUCUUCUAGGCUGACACCUCGCGAUCCUUAGGCUGUCUUUAUAUCAGUUCGCUCGCUGGCUCUAAAAUCGUGCCGUGAAAGCAUUUAAUUAAAGCGAGCUACGCGACGGGCUGUUGGAAGAGGAAACUGGGCUCCGGGGACUAACGGCGGGUGUGAGUAGUUGCUGUAGGCGCCGCAAGGGUGCGAAACUGCGAACAUUGUCUGUCGGCAAGAGGAGCAGGAGCUCCGAGGCAUUUACUUAAUUAGAGCCAGUUCGUUCCUUUUGCCUACCAACGCCUGCCAGCCUGUAACUGCAUUUAUGCACGAAACCCUUCUGCAUCUCCUGCACCGAGAAAACGGAAGAGACAGAAAAAUCGGAUGUGAAAAUGUGCAGCGACACUCGGAGAAUAGGUGAGACAGGUUACGUGGCUUGGAGAAGUAUGCUUCGUUAGGUUAGGAAUUAGAGAAUGUUUGAAUACGCUCGAGCUUUCGAUUUGUGUGGCCGGGGAAGUGAAGUAGUGAAAGAGAAUAAGAAAGAGGUAAACACGAGGUGGAGGGAGGAACGAGAACGUAGUGACACCUGGUGACAAUUCCUUCAGGGCUGUCGGCAUUAUCUCGCUGCCACAAUGCCCAAAACAUGGCUUCGUUCGAAGUCUCUACGAGAUCCUCGAGAAUUCUCGUUUACUUCCUCCGUCCUGGGACUUGUCCCUUUCCCUUGGGAUAAUGUCCUUUUAUUCUUUCACGAAACGGGAUUCCUAGCCAUUGUACAAGGUGACAGUUUCCACGGGCUAGCCUGUCGAUGCUCGCCAAUACGUUUUGAAGACUUGGGAUAAACGUCUACGGGAACCGACCUACCUGAUCGGUAUUGUUCUUAUUUAUUUUUUGAAUGAACUUUGUUUCCUCAAAAAAGGUCUACCGGAACCAUCCGUUAUGGAAAUUCCUCUUUUCACGGGUUAAAAACGAAACGUAGCUGUAUCGUAGUGGCUGUUGGAAUCUUUGGACCUUAUUAUGGGACCUUUCGACACGCCAGGAAACCACCAUUAACGCCUCGACACGUAAUACGUCACGGUUCAGUCUAGGUGUUCCCUUCUACGACCUAAUAGACAAUAGCCUGUUUCAUGGAUACCAACAUGAUGACCCAUUGACGGUAGCCAUUGUUACUCAGGUGUGAAAAGAUCCGGCGAUUAACCUUCGUUCGAAGUAUCACGAACGAAGCGUAGCACCUUUGCAAGCUUUGUUCUUUUUUCUUUUUCUUUUUUUACACAAGAAAUCACCGCCUUUCUAUUCCUUCUAAUUCAUGCCUCGCGCUCUACUCUUUCUCUCUUCUUUAUUUUCUUAGAAACAGCCCA